RNAcentral lists this ribosomal RNA (350 nucleotides) under uncultured Cryptococcus. RNAcentral describes it as "SSU rRNA". It matches the Rfam family "Eukaryotic small subunit ribosomal RNA", at positions 20 to 370 of the family's 1831-position model. The record is from RNAcentral. Lineage: Eukaryota; Fungi; Basidiomycota; Tremellomycetes.
GUAGUCAUAUGCUUGUCUCAAAGAUUAAGCCAUGCAUGUCUAAGUAUAAACAAAUUCAUACUGUGAAACUGCGAAUGGCUCAUUAAAUCAGUUAUAGUUUAUUUGAUGGUAUCUUGCUACAUGGAUAACUGUGGUAAUUCUAGAGCUAAUACAUGCUGAAAAGCCCCGACUUCCGGAAGGGGUGUAUUUAUUAGAUAAAAAACCAAUGGGUGAAAGCCCUCUAUGGUGAUUCAUGAUAACUUCUCGAAUCGCAUGGCCUUGCGCCGGCGAUGCUUCAUUCAAAUAUCUGCCCUAUCAACUUUCGAUGGUAGAGUAGUGGUCUACCAUGGUAUCAACGGGUAACGGGGAAU